UACGGAGGAUGCAAGCGUUAUCCGGAUUUAUUGGGUUUAAAGGGUGCGUAGGCGGAAUUGUAAGUCAGUGGUGAAAUCUUGCAGCUUAACUGUAAAAUAGCCAUUGAUACUGCGAUUCUUGAGUACACUUGAGGUAGGCGGAAUGUGUAAUGUAGCGGUGAAAUGCUUAGAUAUUACACAGAACACCAAUUGCGUAGGCAGCUUACUAAGUUGUAACUGACGCUGAUGCACGAAAGCGUGGGGAUCGAACAGG
RNAcentral lists this ribosomal RNA (253 nucleotides) under uncultured bacterium. Its description in RNAcentral is "partial 16S ribosomal RNA". It matches the Rfam family "Bacterial small subunit ribosomal RNA", at positions 524 to 776 of the family's 1533-position model. The record is from RNAcentral.